UGGGGAAUAUUGCACAAUGGGCGCAAGCCUGAUGCAGCCAUGCCGCGUGUGUGAAGAAGGCCUUCGGGUUGUAAAGCACUUUCAGCGAGGAGGAAGGGUAGUGUGUUAAUAGCACAUUGCAUUGACGUUACUCGCAGAAGAAGCACCGGCUAACUCCGUGCCAGCAGCCGCGGUAAUACGGAGGGUGCAAGCGUUAAUCGGAAAUACUGGGCGUAAAGCGCACGCAGGCGGUUUGUUAAGUCAGAUGUGAAAUCCCCGCGCUUAACGUGGGAACUGCAUUUGAAAGCUGGCAAGCUAGAGUCUUGUAGAGGGGGGUAGAAUUCCAGGUGUAGCGGUGAAAUGCGUAGAGAUCUGGAGGAAUACCGGUGGCGAAGGCGGCCCCCCUGGACAAAGACUG
This 397-nucleotide ribosomal RNA is filed under the name uncultured bacterium. RNAcentral describes it as "partial 16S ribosomal RNA". It matches the Rfam family "Bacterial small subunit ribosomal RNA", at positions 355 to 742 of the family's 1533-position model. The record is from RNAcentral.